Molecule: ribosomal RNA, 301 nt
Filed under: uncultured bacterium
Lineage: Bacteria
Description: partial 16S ribosomal RNA
Rfam family: Bacterial small subunit ribosomal RNA
Source: RNAcentral
CAGUAGCCGCGGGAAUACAGAGGGUGCGAGCGUUAAUCGGAUUUACUGGGCGUAAAGCGUGCGUAGGCGGCUUCUUAAGUCGGAUGUGAAAUCCCUGAGCUUAACUUAGGAAUUGCAUUCGAUACUUGGAAGCUAGAGUAUGGGAGAGGAUGGUAGAAUUCCAGGUGUAGCGGUGAAAUGCGUAGAGAUCUGGAGGAAUACCGAUGGCGAAGGCAGCCAUCUGGCCUAAUACUGACGCUGAGGUACGAAAGCAUGGGGAGCAAACAGGAUUAGAUACCCGGGUAGUCCCUGUCUCUUAUAA